UACGUAGGGGGCGAGCGUUGUCCGGAAUCAUUGGGCGUAAAGCGCGUGUAGGCGGCUUGGCAAGUCUUGCGUGAAAUCCUGCGGCUCAACCGCAGGCCUGCGCGGGAUACUGCCUCGCUAGAGUCCGGAAGAGGAGAGUGGAAUUCCCAGUGUAGCGGUGGAAUGCGCAGAUAUUGGGAGGAACACCCGUGGCGAAGGCGGCUCUCUGGGACGGUACUGACGCUGAGACGCGAAAGCGUGGGGAGCGAACAGG
RNAcentral lists this ribosomal RNA (253 nucleotides) under uncultured bacterium. RNAcentral describes it as "partial 16S ribosomal RNA". It matches the Rfam family "Bacterial small subunit ribosomal RNA", at positions 524 to 776 of the family's 1533-position model. The record is from RNAcentral.